RNAcentral lists this ribosomal RNA (435 nucleotides) under Chryseobacterium sp. OR6. Its description in RNAcentral is "bacterial SSU rRNA". It matches the Rfam family "Bacterial small subunit ribosomal RNA", at positions 28 to 466 of the family's 1533-position model. The record is from RNAcentral. Lineage: Bacteria; Pseudomonadati; Bacteroidota; Flavobacteriia; Flavobacteriales; Weeksellaceae. RNAcentral also lists the same sequence under 1 other name.
GAUGAACGCUAGCGGGAGGCCUAACACAUGCAAGCCGAGCGGUAUUGUUUCUUCGGAAAUGAGAGAGCGGCGUACGGGUGCGGAACACGUGUGCAACCUGCCUUUAUCUGGGGGAUAGCCUUUCGAAAGGAAGAUUAAUACCCCAUAAUAUAUUGAAUGGCAUCAUUUGAUAUUGAAAACUCCGGUGGAUAGAGAUGGGCACGCGCAAGAUUAGAUAGUUGGUGAGGUAACGGCUCACCAAGUCUGCGAUCUUUAGGGGGCCUGAGAGGGUGAUCCCCCACACUGGUACUGAGACACGGACCAGACUCCUACGGGAGGCAGCAGUGAGGAAUAUUGGACAAUGGGUGAGAGCCUGAUCCAGCCAUCCCGCGUGAAGGACGACGGCCCUAUGGGUUGUAAACUUCUUUUGUAUAGGGAUAAACCUACUCUCGUGAG